UGGNUCAGCUGGGGGCGUGCGGUGGGUACGGGCUGGCUUGAGUGCGGUAGGGGAGACUGGAACUCCUGGUGUAGCGGUGGAAUGCGCAGAUAUCAGGAGGAACACCGGUGGCGAAGGCGGGUCUCUGGGCCGUUACUGACGCUGAGGAGCGAAAGCGUGGGGAGCGAACAGGAUUAGAUACCCUGGUAGUCCGCGCUGUAAACGUUGGGCACUAGGUGUGGGGGGCCUUUUCCGGGUUUUCCGCGCCGUAGCUAACGCAUUAAGUGCCCCGCCUGGGGAGUACGGCCGCAAGGCUAAAACUCAAAGGAAUUGACGGGGGCCCGCACAAGCGGCGGAGCAUGCGGAUUAAUUCGAUGCAACGCGAAGAACCUUACCAAGGCUUGACAUGGGCUGGAUUGCUUCGGAGACGGGGUUUCCCUUUUUUGGGCUGGUUCACAGGUGGUGCAUGGUUGUCGUCAGCUCGUGUCGUGAGAUGUUGGGUUAAGUCCCGCAACGAGCGCAACCCUUGUCUCGUGUUGCCAGCACGUUGUGGUGGGGACUCGCGGGAGACUGCCGGGGUUAACUCGGAGGAAGGUGGGGAUGACGUCAAAUCAUCAUGCCCCUUAUGUCUUGGGCUUCACGCAUGCUACAAUGGCCGGUACAGUGGGUUGCGAUGCUGUGAGGCGGAGCGAAUCCCUGAAAGCCGGUCUCAGUUCGGAUCGGUGUCUGCAACUCGACACCGUGAAGUUGGAGUCGCUAGUAAUCGCAGAUCAGCAGCGCUGCGGUGAAUACGUUCUCGGGCCUUGUACACACCGCCCGUCACGUCAUGAAAGCUGGCAACACCCG
Molecule: ribosomal RNA, 825 nt
Filed under: uncultured bacterium
Lineage: Bacteria
Description: bacterial SSU rRNA
Rfam family: Bacterial small subunit ribosomal RNA
Source: RNAcentral